CAGAGUUGCAAAACUCCCACAAACCAUCGCGAAUCUUACCCGUACGGUUGCCUCGGCGCUGGCAGUCCGGAAGGCCCUCGGGCCCCCGGAUCCUCGGGUCUCCCGCUCGCGGGAGGCUGCCCGCCGGAGUGCCGAAACUAAACUCUUGAUAUCUUAUGUCUCUCUGAGUACACUUUUAAAUAAGUCA
This 187-nucleotide unclassified non-coding RNA is filed under the name soil metagenome. Its description in RNAcentral is "partial internal transcribed spacer 1". The record is from RNAcentral.